This 75-nucleotide transfer RNA is filed under the name Coleonyx variegatus. RNAcentral describes it as "tRNA-Asn". It matches the Rfam family "tRNA". Rfam says of the family: Transfer RNA (tRNA) molecules are approximately 80 nucleotides in length. Lineage: Eukaryota; Metazoa; Chordata; Lepidosauria; Squamata; Eublepharidae. The record is from RNAcentral.
UAGAUUGAAGCCCGCUGGAUUGGGUGUUUAGCUGUUAAUUAAACGUUGCGGGAUCAAGGCCCGCCGAUCUAGUAG